GGUGCAAGGGCUCUAAGAGUUGGCGCCUAAUAGGUUUCCUAAAGGAAGUUGUAUAACUUAAGUUAUUAGGAAGCCUAAUGCAAGUAGGAUUUGUAUUAUGAGAUUGAAUAGGAUUCAAUCCUUAUGUCUAUUUAAAAGAACCUCUCCUAAGAUCCUUAGGUAUCCAAACUAGCAGCCCACACACCAUAAAGGAGCCCCCCACGCCCUCUCUUCUCCUCCCCUUCUCUUCUCCCCUUGGGCGUCCCAUACAUCCUCCCCUUGGGCAUCCCUUUUCUUCAUGCCCAUAAGGGCCUUGGGUGUCCACUUCUUAUGCUGGUUCCUGAUGUUUGGUAGCAGCAUAAUCAAGAAAAAAAAGAUAAGAGAAGAAGAGAAGAAGACGAUCAAAGAAAGAAAUCAAAGAGUUAAUUGUGAUUUAGGCUUCGUUUAGAUUCGCAGGCUGAAUUUUCUUAGAGAAAAAAAAUUAAUUUGAAGAGGGUUGUUCUAGGUUGAUCCUGAGUGGAUACCCAUAGAGGUCGGAUAUUUGCACGGCUAAGAGAGAGCUUCUUCUUUUUCAGAUCCAGAUUUGAAGAAAAAAAUUAUGAAACAGAUAUGUGAUUCGAUCACAUGUUAAAUUUUAGUAUAUGUAUAAUUUCAAUAUAUGAAAUAGAUCCUUGUGGUUUAUAUUUUAUGCAUCAUGAUAUAGAUUAAAAGUAUUUUAAUCUAUUAUUCUAAAGUGAUAUUUAAAAAAUAAAAUUUUUGAAACAUACAUGUAUGCCCCGACAUAUGAAUUCCAACAGCAUGUGCUCAGCUCAUCUUGUGAGCGAAGCAGCAUGUGCACUUCUUAUUUUUAUAUUAGAGGCAGUAUGUACCCAUAGGCAGUGUGUGCAUUUCUUAUUUUUAUGUGAGAGGCAGCAUGUGUCUGUAAGCAGCAUGUGCACUUUUUAUCUUUACGGAGAGGCAGUGUGUGCCCAUAGGCAGCAUGUGUACUUUUCAUUUUCAUGCGAGAGACAGCGUGCACUUGUAGGUAGUGUGUGCACUUCUCAUUUUCAUACGAGAGGUAGUGUAUGUCCGUAGGCAGUAUUUGCAUUUCUCAUUUUUAUGUGAGAGACAGCAUGUGCCCAUAGGUAACGUGUGCACUUCUCAUUUUCGUGCAAGAGGCAGUGUAUGCCCGUAGAUAGUUGUGCACUUCUUGUCUUCACGCGAGAGGUAGCAUGUGCCCAUAGGCAGUGUGUGCACUUCUUGUGAUCGCAGAU
This 1232-nucleotide long non-coding RNA is filed under the name Elaeis guineensis (African oil palm). RNAcentral's name for it is "long non-coding RNA (EGUI_LNC059404)". The record is from RNAcentral. Lineage: Eukaryota; Viridiplantae; Streptophyta; Magnoliopsida; Arecales; Arecaceae.